Molecule: ribosomal RNA, 253 nt
Filed under: uncultured bacterium
Lineage: Bacteria
Description: partial 16S ribosomal RNA
Rfam family: Bacterial small subunit ribosomal RNA
Source: RNAcentral
UACAGCGGGGGCGAGCGUUGUUCGGAAUUACUGGGCGUAAAGGGCGCGUAGGCGGCCAACUAAGUCAGACGUGAAAUCCCUCGGCUCAACCGGGGAACUGCGUCUGAUACUGGAUGGCUUGAAUUCGGGAGAGGGAUGCGGAAUUCCAGGUGUAGCGGUGAAAUGCGUAGAUAUCUGGAGGAACACCGGUGGCGAAGGCGGCAUCCUGGACCGAGAUUGACGCUGAUGCGCGAAAGCCAGGGGAGCAAACGGG